Molecule: ribosomal RNA, 448 nt
Filed under: uncultured bacterium
Lineage: Bacteria
Description: partial 16S ribosomal RNA
Rfam family: Bacterial small subunit ribosomal RNA
Source: RNAcentral
GACGAACGCUGGCGGCAGGCUUAACACAUGCAAGUCGAGCGAGGGCUUCGGCCCUAGCGGCGGCCGGGUGAGUAAAGCGUGGGAUCGUGCCCUUGUCACUGGCCUAGCACUGGGAAAUCGGGCGUAAUGCCGGAUACGACCUCGGGGAAUGGCCAACUGUCGCGUAGGAUUUGUUGGGGAAGGAUCGGCCUGCGUCGUAUUAGGUCGUUGGAGGGGUAACGGCCUACCAAGCUGACGAUCCGCAGCUGGUUUGGGUGGAUGACCAGCCAGACUGGGAGUGACACACGGCCCAGACUCCUGCGGGAGGCAGCAGUGGGGAAUCAUGGACAAUGGGGGCAACCCUGAUCCACCCAGGCCGCGUGAGCGAUGAAGGCCUGAGGGUUGUAAAGCUCUUUCAGCGGGGAAGAUAAUGACGGUACCCUCAGAAAAAGGCCCGGCUAACUCCGUU